Molecule: ribosomal RNA, 117 nt
Filed under: Aquihabitans daechungensis
Lineage: Bacteria; Bacillati; Actinomycetota; Acidimicrobiia; Acidimicrobiales; Iamiaceae
Also listed under: 4 other names
Source: RNAcentral
UUCGGUGACUAUCGCGUCUGGGUCACACCCGUUCCCAUCCCGAACACGGAAGUUAAGCCAGACUGCGCCGAUGGUACUUGGGUGGAUUCGCCCUGGGAGAGUAGGUCGUCGCCGGAU